RNAcentral lists this ribosomal RNA (463 nucleotides) under Acanthamoeba sp. Its description in RNAcentral is "SSU rRNA". It matches the Rfam family "Eukaryotic small subunit ribosomal RNA", at positions 740 to 1095 of the family's 1831-position model. The record is from RNAcentral. Lineage: Eukaryota; Discosea; Longamoebia; Acanthamoebidae.
GGCCCAGAUCGUUUACCGUGAAAAAAUUAGAGUGUUCAAAGCAGGCAGAUCCAAUUUUCUGCCACCGAAUACAUUAGCAUGGGAUAAUGGAAUAGGACCCUGUCCUCCUAUUUUCAGUUGGUUUGCCGCGAGGACCAGGGUAAUGAUUAAUAGGGGUAGUUGGGGGCAUUAAUAUUUAAUUGUCAGAGGUGAAAUUCUUGGAUUUAUGAAAGAUUAACUUCUGCGAAAGCAUCUGCCAAGGAUGUUUUCAUUAAUCAAGAACGAAAGUUAGGGGAUCGAAGACGAUCAGAUACCGUCGUAGUCUUAACCAUAAACGAUGCCGACCAGCGAUUAGGAGACGUUGAAUACAAAACACCACCAUGCGCAUUGCGGUCGUCUUUGGUGUGUCGCUCACAAGGCGGCAUCAUCGGGACGGCUUAGCUCGCAUGGCACCGGUGAAUGACUCCCCUAGCAGCUUGUGAGA